AUGACGGCGUCAAUAGAGCGAACCACGUCAGGUGCACGGCGUCAGGGCACAAUGAUGAAUUUUACGGAGGAUGCUCCUGUAAAGAAAUGCUCUGUUCUCUUAACAAGGAUGGAAAGUAUAACGGCAUACAAAAACCAACGUGGACAACCCAAAUCUGAACAAUCUGACAUUCCAGUGUCUGCUAAUGACAUGUGUUCCCUUGCUGAAUGGCCAUCCCAUGCUCGCCGCAAUCGUGCGCGACUACAGGAUGAAGCUGGUGGACAGAAGAAGAAAGGGCGAGGUGUUCUAAAAGGUUUUAAAGCAUCUAAGAAGCGUUUUGCCAAUGGAUCUGCAAAGCUAAAUAUUACAUUCUCUGAAAAAUUGGGUGGUACAGUAGGAAUGAACUAUCGUUCGUUCAAGGAUGACGUGGUUGUCAUAAUGAAAAGAAAGUUACCACUCAUUGGAGCGAGGACGUGGUCGGACAUUCACCCUACCAUUCAUCGACUCAUUGUUGCAGAUAUAAUAGACAGAUGGGACCUGGAAGAUACACCAGAAACAGAAGAAAAAGUUCUCAAAAUUGCGAAAGAGAGAUAUAGAGGCUGGCGAUCAACUCUAAGCUCCACUUACAAGGCAUACAAAACAGAUGCAGCUAGAUUGGCUAAUCUGCCUGAAGAUUUACAACCAGAAGAGUGGGAAUGGAUGAUUGAGUACUUUGGCAUUGAUUCAAAAUUUCAGGAACACAGCCAAAAGAACGCUGAUAACCGUAAGAAACAGAAGACAAAACAUAUAAUCGGAACAAAAUCUUACUCGCAAGUUAGUUUUGAGAAGAGAAACUUAGAAACUGGAGAAGAGCCAGAUUGUAUUGCUCUAUGGGAACUCACCCACACAAAUAAUGGAACAUGGUCUAACACAGAUUCCCAGAAAGUUUACGACCAAGCACUUGAAGAGGUUAAAAACAAAGAAGCUGAAACUAAAGGUCCACUUUCAAGUGAGCAGAAAAACAAUGUUUUCCAGACCGCUUACAAAGACACUCUAGAAUGCAAGUCAUCGCAGCCUCGUGGGUACGGAUACAUGGACAAAACUUCAACUGGUUCUAAAAAGUUCCGUAUCCAGAUUGAAGAGCAAGCUCGUGCUACAGCAGCCACCCAGGAGCGAAACUCUCAGCUCAGCCAGCAGGUCAAUGACUUAGAAGAUCAACUACAAGCUGAACGUGCUAACACACAAGAGAGGAUUAACUUGGAGCGUGCUGAGAGAGAACAACUUGAGGAGAGGUUAAAAGAAGAGCGUGUUGAAAGGGAAAGAUUGUUGCAAGAGGAGCGAACAUCAAGACUGGAAUUUGAAAAAAACAUGAUGGCAAAGUUUGUAGAAUUGAGCAAACAGAUAGAAACCCAACAGGUUCCUACGAAGAGGGUUGACAAAGAAAAUAGUAAUCCAAACUUGCAAAAUAUUCUUUCACAGACAUCUAGUCCUAAUAAGACUCCAGGUUCAAGGCCGACUGCUAUUUCUUCAAAUGCGCUCAUACAAGCUGCAGCAAGGCAAUCUCGAAUGUAUAAAGCAAUGGAUCCAAAGAACUAG
RNAcentral lists this ribosomal RNA (1554 nucleotides) under Triticum aestivum (bread wheat). Its description in RNAcentral is "partial small subunit ribosomal RNA". The record is from RNAcentral. Lineage: Eukaryota; Viridiplantae; Streptophyta; Magnoliopsida; Poales; Poaceae.